UCCCAGGUGGCUCAGUGAUAGGGAAUCUGCCUGCCAAGCAGGAGACAUGGGUUCAAUCCCUGGUUUGGGAA
Molecule: transfer RNA, 71 nt
Filed under: Ovis aries (sheep)
Lineage: Eukaryota; Metazoa; Chordata; Mammalia; Artiodactyla; Bovidae
Rfam family: tRNA
About the family: Transfer RNA (tRNA) molecules are approximately 80 nucleotides in length. Their secondary structure includes four short double-helical elements and three loops (D, anti-codon, and T loops).
Source: Rfam by way of RNAcentral